UUUACCUACGGGAGGCAGCAGUGGGGGAUCUUGCACAAUGGGGGGAACCCUGAUGCAGCGACGCCGCGUGGGUGAAGAAGCGCCUCGGCGCGUAAAGCCCUGUCAGCAGGGAAGAAAAUGACGGUACCUGAAGAAGAAGCCCCGGCUAACUACGUGCCAGCAGCCGCGGAAAUACGUAGGGGGCAAGCGUUAUCCGGAUUUACUGGGUGUAAAGGGGGCGAAGACGGCGAUGCAGGCCAGGAGUGAAAGCCCGGGGCCCAACCCCGGGACUGCGCUUGGAACUGCGGGGCUGGGG
This 295-nucleotide ribosomal RNA is filed under the name uncultured bacterium. Its description in RNAcentral is "partial 16S ribosomal RNA". It matches the Rfam family "Bacterial small subunit ribosomal RNA", at positions 334 to 646 of the family's 1533-position model. The record is from RNAcentral.